GCGACACUAGCUCAGUUGGUAGAGCGCAACCUUGACAAGGUUGAGGUCACGCCUUUUUGUUUUUAAAGAAGGGAACCUCGUGUGUCGCUCCA
RNAcentral lists this transfer RNA (92 nucleotides) under Vibrio navarrensis. RNAcentral describes it as "tRNA-Val". It matches the Rfam family "tRNA". Rfam says of the family: Transfer RNA (tRNA) molecules are approximately 80 nucleotides in length. Their secondary structure includes four short double-helical elements and three loops (D, anti-codon, and T loops). The record is from RNAcentral. Lineage: Bacteria; Pseudomonadati; Pseudomonadota; Gammaproteobacteria; Vibrionales; Vibrionaceae.